CCGGCGGGUAAUCGCCCGUCCGGGAACUGACACCGGUACCUGAUACGGCCGGUGCAG
RNAcentral lists this non-coding RNA (57 nucleotides) under Streptomyces sp. NRRL F-5135. RNAcentral's name for it is "L17-Actino-Proteobacteria ribosomal protein leader". It matches the Rfam family "L17-Actino-Proteobacteria ribosomal protein leader". The record is from RNAcentral. Lineage: Bacteria; Bacillati; Actinomycetota; Actinomycetes; Kitasatosporales; Streptomycetaceae.